RNAcentral lists this ribosomal RNA (440 nucleotides) under uncultured bacterium. Its description in RNAcentral is "partial 16S ribosomal RNA". It matches the Rfam family "Bacterial small subunit ribosomal RNA", at positions 338 to 795 of the family's 1533-position model. The record is from RNAcentral.
CCUACGGGUGGCAGCAGUAGGGAAUAUUGCUCAAUGGGGGAAACCCUGAAGCAGCCACGCCGCGUGGAGGAUGAAGGUUUUAGGAUUGUAAACUCCUUUUGUUAGAGAAGAUUAUGACGGUAUCUACCGCCUACGCCCCGGCUAACUCCGUUCCAGCCGCCGCGGUAAUACGGAGGGUGCAAGCGUUACUCGGAAUCACUGGGCGUAACGAGUGCGUAGGCGGGGUAAUAAGUCAGAUGUGAAAUCCUGUAGCUUAACUACAGAACUGCAUUUGAAACUUUUACUCUGGAGUGUGGGAGAGGUAGGUGGAAUUCUUGGUGUAGGGGUAAAAUCCGUAGAGAUCAAGAGGAAUACUCAUUGCGAAGGCGACCUGCUGGAACAUGACUGACGCUGAUGCACGAAAGCGUGGGGAGCAAACAGGAUUAGAUACCCGUGUAGUC